CCUACGGGUGGCUGCAGUGGGGGAUAUUGCACAAUGGGGGAAACCCUGAUGCAGCAACGCCGCGUGUGGGAAGAAGGUUCUCGGAUUGUAAACCACUGUUCUUGGUGAAGAUAAUGACGGUAAACAAGGAGAAAGCUCCGGCUAACUACGUGCCAGCAGCCGCGGUAAUUCGUAGGGAGCAAGCGUUGUCCGGAGUUACUGGGUGUAAAGGUUGCGUAGGCGGUCUUGCAAGUCAGACGUGAAAACCACAGGGUGAACCUGUGGACUGCGUUUGAAAACGGGGGGCUUGAGUGAAGUAGAGGUAGGCGGAAUUCCCGGUGUAGCGGUGAAAUGCGUAGAGAUCGGGCGGAACACCAGUGGCGAAGGCGGCCUACUGGGCUUUAACUGACGCUGAGGCACGAAAGCGUGGGUAGCGAACAGGAUUAGAUACCCGGGUAGUC
This 440-nucleotide ribosomal RNA is filed under the name uncultured bacterium. RNAcentral describes it as "partial 16S ribosomal RNA". It matches the Rfam family "Bacterial small subunit ribosomal RNA", at positions 338 to 795 of the family's 1533-position model. The record is from RNAcentral.